Molecule: long non-coding RNA, 3093 nt
Organism: Notolabrus celidotus (New Zealand spotty)
Lineage: Eukaryota; Metazoa; Chordata; Actinopteri; Labriformes; Labridae
Exons: 2
Source: RefSeq, a predicted model, not a curated record
CCUGACAUUAUAGUUUUCAUUUUCUCACAAAAAAGCAACAGAAAUAUUCUCCUUAAAGUUUGAAGAGAAGCUAACAACUGAACACAGAUGAGAACAAAGACUGGUCUCAGUUUUUUCUUUGUUUAUUGUGUUGGUCUGUUCAUAUCUUUAAAGAGAUUAUAUACACAAAUUAGUACAAGAAGAGUUAUCCAAAAAAUUACACAUUCAAAAAAAGACAGACAACCCUUGUGAAAAAGAUUUGAACCAGACUGUGAGCCGUCUCUGCUGUGGAGUUUAGAUUCUCACAUUCUCUAUCUGUUUUAAAGCUAAAGAAGUCCACGCGCGUAUAAAGAUCAUUUCCAGUUAAGAAAGAAACAGGAGCAGUGUUUUAAUCGCUACAGCAGACAACAUACAAAAACAGGAAGUGUCCCUCGUCUGUCACAAAAGUGUCAUUUCCUCUGAAAUCUUUGAUGUUUGGACUAAAAGCAAACUAAAGCUAAAUUUAUCAUGUGCUAUUAAACAAACGUCCAUGCUAUAACUGAAUCUGUGAUUAAAAUAACUUACUGACUUUUAGCUAGUUACGUCUGAUUCCAAAGAGAUCCCGAUCAGAAAGUGAAAAAAUACACGCCUCCUCCUUUUUGUCAAACAAUCAACAAAUAUUCACCAAACGUUCACAUUUCACUCCUCUCACUCACUCAGACUACCUGAAGUCACGAUAGAAAAAGAGACAGGGUUAACAACACAGAUCUCACUGCAGACUUUAAGAGCAGACGUGAGGCGCUGCUGGAGGUCUCCUUAAGGCUCGCAGAUCUGAGUCUCCACCACGAACUCGCUCUCGAAGUGACGGAUCUUGAAACAGUUCAGAGCUUCGCGCUUCUGCAUCCCUGUGAAACAAAGAGAGGCGGUUAGAGCAACGUCACUGGGGGAGAGCGGCUCGGGCCUGAGUUAGAGAGCUCCUGUGAAGCUCAGCGGAUAACACGUAAAGAUUAGAUUCUUCUGGAAACAUCGAGGAGGAGCUGAGGAUGAGUUAACUUCAGGGGACAAUGAUUCUGAGUUCAACACACUCUCACACAAAUACAUACAAAUCAUGUGUUAGCAGUAAACUCAGUUUUCAAAUCCUGCCUUCUGAACGCUGCUGGAGCAAAAUCACUCCUUCAGAUUUUAGAGGAGCAAUAAAACAAAACACUUUCAAAGAACAUGUGAUUUUCUGGCCAAAAAUUGAGUCUCUCGUUAAAAGUUUAAUAUUUUCCAUCAGUUCAUUGAGAAAGUGUGAUACUUUCUAGGCUCUAAAAUGUUUGAUGCAUUGUUCCUUUUUUAAUUUUCGUAUUUUAUGGACUACAGCUCAAAAAAGCGUAAAAAUAAAGCUCUAAUUUCUCUUAUAAUAAAAACACUUUAAAGUCUAAUUAAUUCAAAAUGUAAGAUUAUUUCAGUUCACUGCAUGUCACAAACUUUGUCACGAUGUAAUGAUUGUUUGAGAUAACGGUGGAAUAACAACAGAGCCCCCCUUACCCAGGAUCCGGUCUCUGCGCUGCAGCUUGUAGGUGUCUUUGCCGCUGCACAGGUUGUAGAUGAAAUACCCGAGCUGGUCCACAUGCUCCAAACGCUCCGUCACGAUCAUCUCCUCGUGGAUCAGGUAAGACUGAGGCAGGUAGGUGCCGGCCUGACAGAGAGAGAGAGAGACAUGAAUGUGAGAUAUAACACGUGACAAUGACUUAGAAAAUAGAAGUCUUGUGUAUCUGAUCCGGAGGGCUCUGACCUGCCGGAUCAGAGACGCAGCCGGAACUCAACGGAGUGGAUCCAGUGGAAAUUAACACAUUGAGUAGAAUAGAAACCUAUCAGAACAUCCGGUGUGGAUGUUUUCAGUGUUUCUGAUCAGAACGUGAUUGUAACUUGCAAAGCAGCCAUCAGGAGCAAGUUAUUCUGGAUUAUUGAUCUCAGUUUAGGAAAAUCCAUGUCAUGCAUUGUUAAUCUGAGGCUCUGAAUACAUGUAAAACACACUGACACUGCUUGAUGUGUUUUUAAAUAAUUUAAUUUCUUGUUCUUUUGUCUCUGCAGGAAAACAGAAACAUUUAUCCUCCAAAAAUGUUGAAUUAUUCUUUCAAAUUUCCUAAAGCACAAAGUCAAAGCAAGUUAUCACACACAUCAUGUUAAUCAUUGAUCAUCGCUCUCAGUGAGCUUGACACUGAAAGGUCAGGACUAUUUCGUCGUCAUGUUUCACCUUGACGUUGACGAUCAGCUCCAGGAAGUCUCUGGGCGGCAUGACGAUGGAGGUGUUGAGCGGGAUGACGUAGCACUUGUUCAGACUGAGAUCCAGGUAGGCGGUCAACCUCUGAGAGACAAAACAACGAUCACAUGAUAAUUAAUAACUGAAACUGAGGAUUGAUGAUGUCAGAUUGUGGGUGUGGCUUCUCCGUCUCACCCUCUGGAAGUCGUGCACGAUGUCAGCAGGGUCUCCAUUCUCAAACUCAGGCACGGGGACAUUGAUGAGCUCCACCUGCUCCUUCUCCAGAACCCUGAUCCGCUCCUCGAUCUGCCGCAGGUGGAACUGGUUCGGCAGCUCCACCUCCACCUGGAAACCAGUUCAACCAGUCAGCCUCUAGUGGAACACUUGAGGAACUGCAGCUUUUAACACUUCAGCAUCAGCUUCAUUCCUGCAGACCGGAGGCCGCUGCUCUCACUGAACAUUGUUAUUAUCACUCUAUGAAGUAUGCUGCGCCAUAUUUGUUUGAGCUUUGAUAAAAUAAUGUAUGAUUAAAGAAGCAGCUUGUUUUUUAUUCAUUAUUAUUAUUAUCUUUUUAUUUGUUUUUAUUUUCUUAUUUAAGAAUUGUAUUGUCUUAUUUUUGUUGUUAUAUGACAUUGUCAAUUACAAGUGUUCAAAACGAUGGUCAAAUUCUGUCACAAAAGUGCUAAUGAACAAAGUUCAUAAAAAAGAAAGGAGAGCAGCUGAUUCUCAAAUGUACUGCUGCAGCUCUUAACUCAGAGAAGUUCAGGGAUUAAGGAGUAACAAUGACCAGAGAAAUAUCUGAUCGAAGCCACAUCUGAGUUACAAAACAAAAAUAUAAAGUUAUCAUGAUUUAAAGUUCAUCCAACAAUAAAAUCCGGCACAUAAACAGA